Molecule: transfer RNA, 72 nt
Filed under: Candidatus Woesearchaeota archaeon
Lineage: Archaea; Nanobdellati; Candidatus Woesearchaeota
Description: tRNA-Gly
Rfam family: tRNA
About the family: Transfer RNA (tRNA) molecules are approximately 80 nucleotides in length.
Source: RNAcentral
GCGUCAAUAGUAUAGUGGUUAGUAUUCGGGCUUCCCAAGCCUGAGACCGGAGUUCGAAUCUCCGUUGGCGCA